RNAcentral lists this ribosomal RNA (200 nucleotides) under Salmonella enterica subsp. enterica serovar Typhimurium. RNAcentral describes it as "partial 16S ribosomal RNA". Lineage: Bacteria; Pseudomonadati; Pseudomonadota; Gammaproteobacteria; Enterobacterales; Enterobacteriaceae. The record is from RNAcentral. RNAcentral also lists the same sequence under 1 other name.
GCCAUGUCUCUCUGCGGUAGUCAUUGCUGCGGUUAUUACCACAACACCUUCCUCCCCGCUGAAGUACUUUACAACCCGAAGGCCUUCUUCAUACACGCGGCAUGGCUGCAUCAGGCUUGCGCCCAUUGUGCAAUAUUCCCCACUGCUGCCUCCCGUAGGGGGGCGGGGGCGGCGGGCCGGGCGCGGGGCGCGGCGGGCGA